This 253-nucleotide ribosomal RNA is filed under the name uncultured bacterium. RNAcentral describes it as "partial 16S ribosomal RNA". It matches the Rfam family "Bacterial small subunit ribosomal RNA", at positions 524 to 776 of the family's 1533-position model. The record is from RNAcentral.
UACGUAGGUGGCAAGCGUUGUCCGGAUUUACUAGGCGUAAAGAGCGCGCAGGCGGUCGUCCAAGUCGCGUGUGAAAGCCCCCGGCUCAACUGGGGAGGGUCACGCGAUACUGGUCGACUCGAAGGCAGGAGAGGGUAGUGGAAUUCCACGUGUAGCAGUGAAAUGCGUAGAGAUGUGGAGGAAUACCGAUGGCGAAGGCAGCCCCCUGGGAUAACACUGACGCUCAUGCACGAAAGCGUGGGGAGCAAACAGG